GAAGAAGUCCUAUUUAAAGACAUCUAGAGAUUGGCAAUAGAAUAAAUGCAAUAAAUGCAAGAACACAUCUAGAGAUUGGCAAUCGAAUAAAUGCAAUAAAUGCAAGAGCUAUAAGAAGAUCAUCGAAUGAUUAAAAGCCUAUUGUUGGUGAUGCGACCGCCAAGAACGCAGUCCAAGCUGAGCCGCAGCGAUCCGAGCUGGGGGGACCUGGAUGCGAAGGAAAGAACGAUCUGCGCGGGUUCACCUGAGAAGGGAGAAUACCAGAGGGACUCCAGUCCCCGGAAUAACUCUGACGGUCAAGUCAGCCGUGUUUAUGAGUAAGACAGCAGUAGAGGGUACUGUGAAUGGCAUACCUUCAGUCAUCGGGUAAUGACGUAUUUAUAGGCUUGACCAAGUGGUGGUUUCCAUGUAGGAGUUGGAGUCCCAUUAGGGUUCGGAGUCCUUCUAGGAUUUCGUAUGACAACCCCUAAAGAUUCGGAGGCGGCAGCCCAUCAGGCCCACUUCAUGGAGAAGGAGAGGCGGCGGCCACGACCGAGCUGACCUCCCUCCAUUCCGAGCUGUUUCGCCCGAGCCGCCGUAUCACAGCAUCCGAGCUGACACGUGGCUACUGGGAAAUUUGCCCCACUACAGUUGGAAAUAACGAAGAAGUAAAAUUUUAGAAUAUUGGUUGAUCAGAGUUUCUAUUAAAUAACCAAUUAAGAAAAACCUUUGCCUAAUACCAAAAUGACGAUGACCAUUGCUUCCACA
Molecule: long non-coding RNA, 747 nt
Filed under: Coffea arabica (coffee)
Lineage: Eukaryota; Viridiplantae; Streptophyta; Magnoliopsida; Gentianales; Rubiaceae
Description: long non-coding RNA (CARA_LNC000828)
Source: RNAcentral